GGAUGUGAGGGCGAUCUGGCUGCGACAUCUGUCACCCCAUUGAUCGCCAGGGUUGAUUCGGCUGAUCUGGCUGGCUAGGCGGGUGUCCCCCUCCUCCCUCACCGAUCCAUGUGCGUCCCUCCCGAAUCUGCGUGCUCAGUCGAAGAGGACGACCUUCCCCCCCGAGGAGAGGACCGGUCUUAGGUCAAGGGUAUACGAGUAGCUGCGCUCCCCUGCUAGAACCUCCAAACAAGCUCUCAAGAAACAGGUCACAAAUGACAGAAAUGGAGGAAAGCAAACUGCUGGAUAUAGAGUUCAAAACCAUGGUUAUAAAGUUUUUCAAGAAUUU
Molecule: unclassified non-coding RNA, 328 nt
Organism: Myotis lucifugus (little brown bat)
Lineage: Eukaryota; Metazoa; Chordata; Mammalia; Chiroptera; Vespertilionidae
Gene: 7SK
Rfam family: 7SK RNA
About the family: 7SK was discovered as an abundant small nuclear RNA in the mid-70s but a possible function has only recently been suggested. Two independent studies have found that 7SK RNA binds the CDK9/cyclin T complex (known as elongation factor P-TEFb).
Source: Ensembl